RNAcentral lists this unclassified non-coding RNA (343 nucleotides) under plant metagenome. RNAcentral describes it as "partial contains small subunit ribosomal RNA and internal transcribed spacer 1". The stretch from base 1 to 46 matches the Rfam family "Eukaryotic small subunit ribosomal RNA", at positions 1786 to 1831 of the family's 1831-position model. The record is from RNAcentral.
AAGUCGUAACAAGGUUUCCGUAGGUGAACCUGCGGAAGGAUCAUUAUUGAAUUAUGUUUUCUAGAUGGGUUGUAGCUGGCUCUUCGGAGUAUGUGCACGCCUGUCUGGACUUCAUUUUCAUCCACCUGUGCACCUUUUGUAGUUCUUUUUCAGGUAUUGGAGGAAGUGGUUCAGCCUAUCAGCUCUUUGCUGGAUUGUAAGGACUUGCAGUGUGAAAACAGUGCUGUCCUUUACCUUGGCCAUGGAAUCUUUUUCCUGUUAGAGUCUAUGGUUAUUCAUUAUACUCUUAGAAUGUCAUUGAAUGUCUUUACAUGGGUAUAGCCUAUGAAAAAUUAUUAUACAA